GACGAACGCUGGCGGCGUGCUUAACACAUGCAAGUCGAGCGGUAAGGCCCUUUCGGGGGUACACGAGCGGCGAACGGGUGAGUAACACGUGGGUGACCUGCCCUUAGCUCUGGGAUAAGCCUGGGAAACUGGGUCUAAUACCGGAUAUGACUCCAUAACGCAUGUUGUGGGGUGGAAAGCCUUGUGCGGCUAGGGAUGGGCCCGCGGCCUAUCAGCUUGUUGGUGGGGUGAUGGCCUACCAAGGCGACGACGGGUAGCCGGCCUGAGAGGGCGACCGGCCACACUGGGACUGAGACACGGCCCAGACUCCUACGGGAGGCAGCAGUGGGGAAUCUUGCGCAAUGGGCGAAAGCCUGACGCAGCGACGCCGUGU
Molecule: ribosomal RNA, 373 nt
Filed under: uncultured bacterium
Lineage: Bacteria
Description: bacterial SSU rRNA
Rfam family: Bacterial small subunit ribosomal RNA
Source: RNAcentral